ACUAGAUCAAAGCUCACAAGGGA
RNAcentral lists this microRNA (23 nucleotides) under Gossypium hirsutum (cotton). Its description in RNAcentral is "microRNA miR172". The record is from RNAcentral. Lineage: Eukaryota; Viridiplantae; Streptophyta; Magnoliopsida; Malvales; Malvaceae.